CUUUCUGCAGGCAAAAUGUGCCCAUCUUUGCAAAGUCAUUUUUAUAGCAUUUGUAGUGUGCAAAGAUGGGCACAUUUUGCCUGCAGAAAGGA
Molecule: non-coding RNA, 92 nt
Organism: Podarcis lilfordi (Lilford's wall lizard)
Lineage: Eukaryota; Metazoa; Chordata; Lepidosauria; Squamata; Lacertidae
Source: the annotation of a GenBank genome assembly